GCCUCUUUCACACUUGAGAGGGAUUUCUGUCUGGGAGAGAGCGUAUUUCAUGAGGGCACCACGUCAUCUUCAUCAUCGUGAUGGAACUGGCCUUUUAUCCGGCGCUGGCACUGAUGUAUUUCUUUGGAGUGAUGAAGGCCGCGCAGGAUGACCGGGUGGAGCUGACCGACCACGCGUCGAUGAACGUGUUCUGUCUGUUCGUGCUGGCACAGCCGCUGUGUCUCGUAAUCGGUGGAUACACUGGCAUGGCUACUUACCUUCUCACCGUUCUGGUAUCCUACAACUUCCUGCCAUGGAAAAGCAGCACAAAAAAGCAAGCAAAAGAAAAAGACUCAGAGAAGAAGACAAAGUGAGAGGCAGAAACACACAUUACAUGGAAAUACCAAGAAAGUGGAUUCAAAAGGGGACUGGAAAGUAUUUAAAUAAAGAAAAAAAAUUAUAAAUAAAUAGCUAUUUCACAACACAUUAUGUGUGAUUUAACCUGUUGUCAUAAAUCUGUUGUUUUGUCUGCAGUUGUAAUGAUCUGUGAGAAAGUAUUUGUAUUUUCAUACACAAAGUGACCCAUUUUAUGAUUCUUGAUGUAGAUGAUGUUGUUGUAAAUACAUUCAGCUGGGUGACUCAAGAGCCACAAGAGAGAAAAUUGCAAACAAAAGGAACAUUAAAUCCAAAAAAACUUCACCAAGUGAAAAAAUAUACAGAAUAGUGCACAGCACAAACAGAGCUAUCCUUGAAAUCAAUCGUUUCUAGACCUACUGGCUGGGAACUUUUCAAAUAAGUUGCAUACUUACUUCCACACCUUUAUGAUCAGGUUAGAUGAGAGGAUCAACUCCAUAUUUUGUAAUACUGAGCUAAAGCCAGCAGCCUGUGAGUUUAGCACAAAGAUGGGAACGGGGCAAACUAGCUAGCAUGUUGUGCAAUCUGUUGUUUCGUUUGGGGGGGGUUCCCUUUCUUUUUUCCAUUUUCUUACAACAUUACAGAUAAAUAGAGAGCCAUAAAGGUAUCUUUGGACUGAUUCAACCUAGGUCUUUAUGCUAAGACUCCAUAACAAGCCAUCUAACAAUUAAUGAUGGUGGAGCUCCGGUUAGAGAUCCUUUCCCCAGAUUAACUUAAAUUGUAUGCAAUAAGCAAAAGUUGGAGCUAGGGUCAUAAAGCUCACAGCAACCUUAAUCAGUUGCCCAUAAUACUGAUUUCCCUGUCUCUCAUGGAGUUAAGGAAACUGGCAAGAUGGCAAGUACUGUAGAUAUCAUGAACUUAACCCAUGGUUGGGUUUUUUGGCUUUUUUCAACAUUAUUGACAGACAGUAAGAGGAAAGCAGAGGGAGAGCGUCACCUGCUCAACACUGAGUCAAACCAGCGCCCCCUUAGCCCUAAACCCAUCGCCUGCUUCGUUGCAUGAUGCUUCACGUUAAAAUUGAUUCAGUCAACCACUCACUUUUUUUUAUUUACCACAUUUUACAAGACUUAGUUGUUGGUUGUUGGAAGAAUUAACAGUGAGGUGCUCUAUUCUCAGCUGCACUGAUUACACCAGGCGCUGUCACAUCUUAGCCAAAUUAAAUAGUCAGAGGUCACAGUUACGCACUGGAGAUAAUUAUGGCGACAGGAGGAUAGCAUAUUCUAAAAUAGUUUCAGGUCUUCAUCACAGCAAAGGGGAAAUCAUCAAAGGAGUUUGGGCUCAUCAUAAUGGUUUGAGGUAAUUGUUGUAUAACUGUAGAGGCGCACUGUGGUCUCAGGACAGCAGCCACUAAGGGAAAUCAGAACCUGUGUGGAACAGAUCUUCUUAUUCGACUCUUGGCAAGAAGUGUACUUCUCAAAAUGAAAAAUUGUUCCUUUAAAACUGAGAAAAUGAUUCAGUGAACAUCUCCGAAUUAUAAUUACAUUGUUAAUGUCAUAAUAUGAAGCCAAUUAGCUCUGGACUGUAAAGUUUGUCAGUGACAAACAAAGAAAGCGUUGGAUUUCACCUAUGACAGUGACACUGAAUGUGUCUCUGGCCUUAUAGCUGAGUCAUUUCUAGUGAACCUGCCUACUUGAAUAUGACUAAUCUGUCAAUUAAUUAAGUAUUCAGUAUAUUAUACACUCAUGAACAGUGUUUCACAAAAGCUCACACUAAACAUAAUUAUUAAAUCAGCACUGUGCUUUUUCCGUCUGUGUUCAUGAAUGACUGAGUGUCCCUCUGAUGUGAAUAAGCCUGGUACCACAGAGCGUCGGGGUGUGCGUAAACCCGGACUCAAAGAGAGAGUGCAUAAUGGGAUUAGACUGUGGUAUAUGGGUGAUAGUCCAAGGCUGUGCUCAGUGGGUGCACAAAUGUGCAAAUGCUUGCUGUUUGAGUGAAAAACAGUGGUUUGUUUUUUUGCAGAAAAAGAAGUUUAUUAGUUCUUCAGCGCUAAUAUCCUCAGUUCACAACUGUCUCUCAGAGUACCUCUCACUUAUUUCUCUUCCUAAGUGUGAAUUUAUGUAGAGUGAAUAAGGUUCUAACCUAAAGUGUCAAUCAUUCGCUAUAAAGGCUCUAAUUCCACAGUUAUUAUCCGUAUAUAUGUUCUUUCAAGGUAUAGCAUUAGCAAAUUGUUCAGCUUUUGCGCUCCACACAUUUGUUCAGUUCCCUAUUCAAUAUGUGUGGAGCAUGUUCUCAGUUUACCUCCCUUAAUGUCACACUGGAGGUGCUUCCUACUGCGUCUUCAUUUUAUUUAAAAUAAUAAGCCUGCAGCUUCCCAUUUAUUGUAACCCCUCCCCCCCUCAACAUGAUUCUUCUUCUUCCCCAGCCAGCACUCAAAACCAAACUCCUUUCUUUUUUGUGUUUCAUCUUCUGUCUCAGUCUUAAUCCUUUUCCACAGUUGGGCUCGUUUCCAUAAUGUCGCUCCUCCUCGCUUGCAUUAUCAUCAAAAAGGGGGGGAAUCUAAUAAAUUAUAUAAUAAAGUGU
Molecule: long non-coding RNA, 2913 nt
Organism: Astatotilapia calliptera (eastern happy)
Lineage: Eukaryota; Metazoa; Chordata; Actinopteri; Cichliformes; Cichlidae
Source: Ensembl